GAAGUGGGAUGGCAGUGUCAUGGCGACAUGGAGUAGACGAUGACCAGUGACUGUUACCGCCAGGAAACCUAACUACUGUGUUUUCCCCUCCCCAGGACAGGAGCCUGUAGGGACUAACCUUCCUUUAGGAAGGCUAUGGCGAGGCAGACUGGCUUGCGGUCCAGGGGCGGGAAGAUGGAGGCCUAGCCCUGUGAGGAUCCUAUGGCACAAGAUUGGUGGGUGGCUAGAUUCCUGGGUGGGAUCCAAGGGCCUCAUAGAAGCCACCUGGAGCUACUGGGGGCAAAAGGCGAUGCUCCUGGUACUGGAGUCUGGGCUUCACAUGCUUUAUUCUACGUGGGUGGGUCCUACUCUCAUCUGUUUAUAUUUUAAGGUUCUUGGACAAGGAAAGAUAAAGUACUCCUUGAGUUCUCUGGGGUCUCUAGACCUCAGGCUCUUCUAGACUCAGGUGAGGUCUCAUGCACAUCAACAAAGUUGGUUCCCUCUGAAAAGCAAGCUUGGGAGGCCAGGGAUUUUACGGCCCACUUGCCUUUCUUCUCGGGCCCUUCACUGGGUACCACUCUACAUACCUGUUAAGUGGAGUCAUAGGGAGAGCAUUUUGCUUGUUCCUGUGCCCCAAUCUUCCAGAGACAGAGGUCUGCGGGCCUUGUCUCUGACCUUCUUAACCACUUCCUGGCCCAGGAAGGGGACCAGCUGAAAGCACAGCUGUUGGGAAGGAGGCCUGUGAUUGGCUUUCCUUCCACUAUGUGGCCUACAGCUGCACCUUAUUGGGACAGGCAGAACCAAAGAGCAGAGGGUGGAGAGGAAGGUAAGAAUGGUUGAUUUGGGGGACCAGAAGAAGUGGAAAAUAGAGAGCAAGUGUCCUCCUGCCACUGUGGAAGAAAGCAAGGGGAGCCCAUGGUUAUGAAUGAACAAACGAACGAACGAACGAAUGAAUGAAUGUUUCAUUGUGCUUCUUUGGUCCACACCAACCUCCUGGGAUGGUACCCGUGGUUCCUUUGCAUUAAAAAUCUGUGCUGCACAGUACCAGACAUAACCAAAGAGCCUGGAUUUCAAACACGGUAUAGGAGGAAAAUGACAUAAAAUAUUACAGUAAUUUAAAUUAAGCACACAUUGAAAUAUUAUCAAAUAUUAUUUUGAUAUAUUGACUUAAAUAAAUUAUUAAGUUUAAGUUUACCGGCUAAUUUUUUUUUGCAUGCAGUUACUGAAAAUUUUCAAGUUGCAUGCAUGGUUCACAUUCCGUUUCUUUUGGAUUUCCUGCAAGCAUGAUCAGACAACCAGAGGUCAAGAAGUUGGGCUGGACUUGGAGCUAGUCACAGCCCGUCAAAGCCAGUGAAGAACGGAGCCCAGGGAGCAAGGCUGGCUGUGCCAGGCCCCCAGAUGCACCCAGUCUGAAGAGGGCCAGGAAUGGGGAAGAAUCAGCAAAUGCAAUAAUCAGAAAAGGGGCCUCCGGUGCACCUUACCACACUAUGCUGUUUCAGCUCCAUGACAGACAUAUGGGGUACAUAAUCUAACCUCCAUUUGAUGUCUGAGGAAACGGAGGCUCUCAGAGGCUGCCACAGUCACAUGGCUCACAGAAACACCUGGAACCCAUGGAGAGAUAAAGACGCCUGCAAAGUUACAAGCAACUGGGCCAGAGGCAUCUGUGUAAAUGAUGAGACUACACCCAAGAGCCUUCUGGAAACCUUUAGCAUUACCAUCUGUGUGCUGGUCCCGGCCAUCAGCUCAGCAACUCGCCCUUUCUGAGAUUUCGACCACAAGGAAGUGUCCAUGGGAGGCACUGGGAAGAGGGUGGACACUGGCUGGUGGCCAGGGGGACCAUGCACCAUCCUGAGAGCUAGGGAGAUGGAGUCAUCUGAUAGCACCCUGGGGACGGUGGUGACAAGGAGCUGAUGGCGCUUUACAGACUGUGACUAGCUGACUUGCUCUAAGCGCGCUACCUACAGCAUGGCAUUCACCUGGGAGCGUGCAGGAAAUGCAGAGCCUCAGGCCCCGCCCCAUGCCUGCUGCACCACAAACUGUGUUUUAACAAGAUUCCUCAGUGAUUAGAUGCACCUGAAGAUCCAAGAACUCCUGACUUAGAGCAUCUGUUCCCACCUGCUCCUUUCAUAAGCAAGCAAACCGAAACUCAGACAAGGCCAAUGACUUGUCCAAAGUCACACAGCAAGUUGGCAGCCAAGCCAGGCCCAGAACUCUGCUUUGUUUGUAUAAAGUCUAACAAAGAGCAAAGGACUUUUGCCGCUUCUGCUCACCAGCCCUUCAUACCUCAUUGAGCUGGACAGGCUAUUUGCACUCUAUUCUGGUCAUCUCUUAAGAAGAUAUCAAUCCAGAAAAAAAAAAAAAAAAGCUUCCUUCUAUACCCUGGUAGGCCUUCAAAACCACGUGCACUGAUGGGUAACUGGAUCAGACCCUAUGCUGGCUCUAUUCUUGGACAAGACCUCAGUCUCCCCAUUAUUACAAAGUAACAAGUGGCCUCCGCAGAGCCUGACUGCUGUCUGAGCUCCCCGAUGAAAGGCCCAUAGAAAGACAAAGUCCUAUUAUGUUUCCUUGUGUUUAAUUGUGGCUGCCUUGCUUUGCCUGCCUGCAGACAUCCCAUUAAGUAGGAAAGUAUGAAAAUGACGGGCCGCCAGGCUGAGAGACUGGCAGUUAUUAGAGGCUGGGCUCCUCUGACUUCCUGGCAGAGAGGCGUAACUGGCUUCAUAAAUUCCUCCUGGCAGAGCGGUGACGUCUCUGUGGCCGCUGCUUCACUUUGCUGAGAGCGCCACUGGGGGCUUCGUCCUUCGCUCAGCUCGGAGUGGAAACCAAGUAUCAACACAGGUGCAGGAGGGGAGGGCAGGGAGUAAGUGGUUGGCUCCCCGGUGCUGGGCGAGAGCUGGCCCCUACACUCUGCCAUUGUGAGGGGAUGGUGUCGUUCUGGCACCUUCCCUCCUGAGUCAUGGGUCCCUAUCCCCACCAAGAUGCAUGCCCAGUGACUCUGUUGCUGAGAAAGGCUAAUAGCUCAUGCUAUCCACUGGGGAGUUGUAGGGCCAAUAUCAACAUCACGUUCUUGUGCUCAAGCUCCCGUGAUCUCGUAUCUUAGAAUAGUAAGAAAUUAUUCUCCCUCAUUCCGGAUGCCAUAAACCCAGAAUCGUUGGCCUGGUUGGCUCUAUCUUUUCAUACAUAUUUCUUACAGUUUUCACUGGCUUUCCGAUCCCUUACAUGGGGCAGCAGAGGUCUUAUUAUUACCUCCGUCUCCACGCAGUCUCUUCUGUGGCUCAGAUCUCCAUCCACCUUUCUCUUAGGAAUAUAUUUGAUGUGGGCUGUGGUUCAGGAAGACCUCUCUCCCAAAUGCACCAUACUCACAAACUCUAGUGGUAAGGAUAUUGAUAUUUGGCAGGGAUACUACUCAACCCACUAAAAAUGUCCCCCGAAGACUAUGCCCUUUGGCAGCUUCUUCCUCCCAGAGAUGUCUUAAGGCGUGUAUGGUGUGGCCUGGAGGAAAGCCGUUUGUCUCAGGACCAUAGCAAGCACCUCAAGAUCCAGCCUUGCCACUAAGU
Long non-coding RNA from Peromyscus eremicus (cactus mouse), 3533 nucleotides. RefSeq lists it as uncharacterized. The record is from RefSeq and is a predicted model, not a curated record. NCBI's taxonomy places the organism in Eukaryota, Metazoa, Chordata, Mammalia, Rodentia, Cricetidae. The transcript has 4 exons.